Molecule: long non-coding RNA, 936 nt
Organism: Falco peregrinus (peregrine falcon)
Lineage: Eukaryota; Metazoa; Chordata; Aves; Falconiformes; Falconidae
Exons: 3
Source: RefSeq, a predicted model, not a curated record
AUCUGCACCGCUGGCUCUCAUUUGCCUGUAAAAGCAGCAGGUGAAUCAGAGUGUCCUGAAUGCACAGCAGCCCGAGAGCCAGGCUGCUCUCUGAAAAUGAGACAGUGAGACAGAGGAGACAAUAUUCCUACCCAAAAUGGCUGCAACGAGCUGAGAUGAACGUAGGCAACAGCACAUGAGCAGCUGAGAAGGCGCUGUAGCCAGCCAGCUGCCCGAGGUCUGCAGGAAUAGAGUGGAGCAGUGUCCUUUGCUCACUUUCAGCCUGGUCUGCUGAGCCUUCCCCUCCUGGUCGUAGGCUCACUGAUUUCACAAAGACAAGCAGAUUUGUGCACAAGGCUAAGUGACGCAGUGGUGUCUGGCUGUGCUUGCAGAAUCUGAAACAAUAACUCUGACCUGCCCGGAUCAUCUCAGUGCCUGCCACGUCAGAUGCCCUGAGCUGAUACUGUAAUACAGACAAAGUUAACUAUUUUGCUACCUAUAAAAGAAGAAAAAAGAAGGGGGAUGAAGGAGCUGCAUAUUUAGCUGUGACUAAUAUUGUAUCUCAGCACUGUGAGUACUCGAUCUGGGGAUCUGCCCAUUUCCCUGCCUCCCCCUCCAGCCAGAAAUGUAUUUAGCAGGACUGAGCUACAUCUACAUCCCUUUUAAGCCUCUGUGAUGGCAGGGGACAAUAAGCUUGCUGAGCCCUAUAAUGCUUAUGACUCUGCAUGGAUGCCAAGGAAGGGGUGCAAGUCCUAGGGUGUCCAGGGAAAGUGCGUUAUCAUACCCUGAAUAGUGCUCCACACAGCUGCCUCUUCCCUCACCCAGCUGGCUUUGGGAAAAUGUUGUCAUGAUUUCCUUUUUUGUCUGGCUUGUUCUGUUAUUUCAUUAAACGGCGUACCUCACAUAUGGCUGCAUACUUCCUCAUUGCUUUCAUAGCUGUGCUUUUCUUCUGUUUUU